UUGAUAGGAUAAGUUAUCACAUAUAAUUAAUGGAUAAGUUAUCUCAAGGAUAACUAAUCCAGGAUAGUUUAUCCUGGAUAACUAGUUCUCAACCAAAGGACCCUUAGGGUUUAAAGACAAUUUGUGUUCAAUGGUUUUGCUCUGUUCUGUUGUUGUUAAUGCUAGGCUUAGUUGUGUACAUCUAAUAUAUGUUUACAGUUGUAUUAUGCGUUAACUGGAGGUUUACUAGAAUUUUGGAAUCUGAGUAAUGAAAUUUGUCCUCUGUUAUGUUCAAUCAAAGAUAUUGCUAUUACAUCUGUGUGUUAUUUCCCAUCCAUUGAAGUUUGAAGCAUUGGUUGUUGAAUUAUUCUUUGGGCAAAAUGAGUUGUGGUGCUGUUGCUGUUGUAUCUGAGCUCUAUUAUGAGGUUCCUCAACUCCGGCAAGUUUUAGAGCUCUGUAUUGGUCUUGUAAUUGCAUUGUAGUUGCUCUGUUGAUGAGGAGGGGCUUGUACUCGUUCGGUGGCCACAUUCAUCUUCUUCAAUGACGCUGGCAUGGUCUUGGUUAAACCACUGGUGCACUGCUUUCUUGUUGUUGAUCCCGUUCUGCAUUGGGUAGGGGUCUUCUUUUCUGUGUCACUAUCAAUUCUUUUGUGUUGAAUCCGGUCAGUCUCCAUCUACUUGAAACCUUUGUGACUCUUGUUUCUUUAGUUGUUUGAGUAAUUGCUUUGAAAUUUUUGUGGUUUUCCAGAGGAGCAACUUGAACACUUCUCGAGUAAGUUAUUCUAAUUUUGAGUGGCUUUGCUGGCUCUGCUGUGUUCCUUCCUCAGCAUUGGUUGUUAAAAUUACAGAAAUAAAGAGAAUAAUUUUAGGUUAAUUUUCUGUGUAUUACUCUUGUGAAAUACUGUUACAUUUAUACAGGAAAGAUGGAGAGAAAAAAAGAAACGGAUAAGGAAACAGCUAUACAGGAUAUAUAUUACUAACAUAAUUCGUAUAUUCUGUUCCUAUAAUUUCUCUCCUAAAUAUGGCUAUUUUCUACACUCCCCCUCAAGUUGGGCACUCGGAUUUCCAAUGCUCAACUUGCGCAAAAUAUUACUGAAGGCUUCAGUACUGACAGCCUUGGUUAGGAUAUCUGCCAGUUGAUCUUUUGAUCGAACAAAUGGGAGUUUGAUAACCUUGUCUUCUAACUUGUCUUUGAUGAAG
This is a long non-coding RNA of Solanum pennellii, 1178 nucleotides long. RefSeq lists it as uncharacterized. The transcript is spliced from 3 exons. The record is from RefSeq and is a predicted model, not a curated record. NCBI's taxonomy places the organism in Eukaryota, Viridiplantae, Streptophyta, Magnoliopsida, Solanales, Solanaceae.